CAGAGUAGGAAUUGCCCUCAAAAUUGGAAGGAAAAAAAAAAACCUCUGGUUCUUUUCAACAGCAGCCGCGAAAGAAGAGGGAAUGGAGGGAGCGAGGAGUGGGAUUCCUUCGCUUAUUAUUUCCUCCUCUCCGCAGGAGGGAGAAGAUAGCCUCCGGCAUUACAGAGGUAUCCCUCUUUCUUGCUUUGCUUGGCUUCUUUUAAGCUUCAAUUUGGUCCGACUCUAAGCUGAUGAUACAUUUAGCCUGUAUGCUUUGUCUUGAUGCGAGUUCUCUUUUUUCUCCCUUUCUUGGUCUACUGUUUCUUGAUGUUUUUCGAGGGUUAUUUAUUGAUGUGGGUUCUUGUUUUCUUUUCUUCUCGAUUUUUUUUUUGUUUUUUAUUUUUUGUCUGUGUGUGUUCAACUUGAUUGAGAAGUUAAAAACUGGUAGAGCGUUCACGCAGACGAAGUCUAAGACUGGUGAAGCAGUUCAAUUUUUUUUUUAACCUCCUCUGUCUCCGUGAAGAUAUCUGCUCAAUAAUUGAUGAAUAGUCUGGAUCUACUUGGUCCAGGGGUUUUCUUGAUUUGAAUUUGGUUUGCCAACAAAAGAACAAGAUGAGAGGAGUUGUUCAUCCGUUUCCAAUUGGUUUUUCCUUUUAUGAUGUUUUCGGUUCAUUGGCUUGGUAUAAUUGAUGUGUUUCUUUUUGCGUCGUCGGUCUGAUAAAUGCCCACUCCAAAUACCAUGAGAAAGCUUCUUCGUUAUUAUUUUGGUAACUUAGAAAGCUAUCCUUUCUUGCAAUCUGUUUUCUUAACCUAUUUGUCUGCAUAGUAUUCCCCAAUUAUGUCAUCAUGAAUAACGUGAAAUAUAUGACGGGUUCACGCAUAGCCAGUAGCUAACUAUACAACUGUAGUCAAUCCACUUCAAUGCCAUGAAAAUUGAAAAGUACUACUUAGAUCUGUUUGGAAAGGAUAGGAUUGGCCCAAAUCCUAAAUAAAAAUUUUAUUUUCUUUUCUAAGCACUGUUUGGAUGAUCUAAUUGUGAAAUAAAAGAACAAUGAGAAGUAGUUAAUCCCAUAGAAAAAUAAUAAUGACCUCGGGAGGUCAUUAUUGUUUUCCCACAAUUACCGGGCAAAGUGGACAUUUUUUUUGUCCAUGACCCUGUUUCGGGAGGUAGUGUAACAGGUGCUGGGAUAUAUUUCAAGAUGAAAAAUCCAGCUCUGGAGAUCAUCAGUGUUGAGCCUGCAGAAAGUGCACUUAUUUCCGGUAUAACUUACUAAUUUACAGGCUUUAUUAAUUUAGAUGAUAGGAAUAUGCCAAGCAACAUGACUGCAGAAAUUACGGCCUGGUUUUGUUCCAAGAAACCUGGAUACAUCAUGGAUGCAUCCAUGAUGUCACCACUGUGACCACAUGAGAAGCGAUGACUAAUGCAAGAAUGCUGGCAAGGGAAGAGGGCUUACCUGGCAUAUCUUCUGGAGCCAAUUGAGCCGCCCGUUUAAAGGUUGUUUCUGUCAUCUGCAGUGCAAACGUAAAGGCACACUCCCUACGGUUUCAAAGCAACCCAAAGUUUACAGGUUGCGAGUACUAG
This 1561-nucleotide long non-coding RNA is filed under the name Elaeis guineensis (African oil palm). RNAcentral's name for it is "long non-coding RNA (EGUI_LNC006431)". Lineage: Eukaryota; Viridiplantae; Streptophyta; Magnoliopsida; Arecales; Arecaceae. The record is from RNAcentral.